This 346-nucleotide ribosomal RNA is filed under the name uncultured bacterium. Its description in RNAcentral is "bacterial SSU rRNA". It matches the Rfam family "Bacterial small subunit ribosomal RNA", at positions 373 to 710 of the family's 1533-position model. The record is from RNAcentral.
GGACGAAAGUCUGACCGAGCAACGCCGCGUGAGUGAAGAAGGUUUUCGGCAUCGUAAAACUCUGUUGUUAGAGAAGAACAAGGAUGAGAGUAACUGUUCAUCCCUUGACGGUAUCUAACCAGAAAGCCACGGCUAACUACGUGCCAGCAGCCGCGGUAAUACGUAGGUGGCAAGCGUUGUCCGGAUUUAUUGGGCGUAAAGCGAGCGCAGGCGGUUUCUUAAGUCUGAUGUGAAAGCCCCCGGCUCAACCGGGGAGGGUCAUUGGAAACUGGGAGACUUGAGUGCAGAAGAGGAGAGUGGAAUUCCAUGUGUAGCGGUGAAAUGCGUAGAUAUAUGGAGGAACACC